GUUUUUAUAGUGUAAACAACAUAUUGCAUUUUCGUUGCAAAGCUGAAAAAACUUUUUUCUAAAAACU
This 67-nucleotide transfer RNA is filed under the name Dotilla wichmanni. RNAcentral describes it as "tRNA-Glu". Lineage: Eukaryota; Metazoa; Arthropoda; Malacostraca; Decapoda; Dotillidae. The record is from RNAcentral.